This 497-nucleotide ribosomal RNA is filed under the name uncultured bacterium. RNAcentral describes it as "partial 16S ribosomal RNA". It matches the Rfam family "Bacterial small subunit ribosomal RNA", at positions 28 to 507 of the family's 1533-position model. The record is from RNAcentral.
GAUGAACGCUGGCGGCGUGCCUAAUACAUGCAAGUCGAGCGAACAGACGAGGAGCUUGCUCCUCUGACGUUAGCGGCGGACGGGUGAGUAACACGUGGAUAACCUACCUAUAAGACUGGGAUAACUUCGGGAAACCGGAGCUAAUACCGGAUAAUAUAUUGAACCGCAUGGUUCAAUAGUGAAAGACGGUUUUGCUGUCACUUAUAGAUGGAUCCGCGCCGCAUUAGCUAGUUGGUAAGGUAACGGCUUACCAAGGCAACGAUGCGUAGCCGACCUGAGAGGGUGAUCGGCCACACUGGAACUGAGACACGGUCCAGACUCCUUCGGGAGGCAGCAGUAGGGAAUCUUCCGCAAUGGGCGAAAGCUUGACGGAGCAACGCCGCGUGAGUGAUGAAGGUCUUCGGAUCGUAAAACUCUGUUAUUAGGGAAGAACAAAUGUGUAAGUAACUAUGCACGUCUUGACGGUACCUAAUCAGAAAGCCACGGCUAACUACGUG